Molecule: long non-coding RNA, 622 nt
Organism: Pantherophis guttatus
Lineage: Eukaryota; Metazoa; Chordata; Lepidosauria; Squamata; Colubridae
Source: RefSeq, a predicted model, not a curated record
AAUGCAGUAUUGCAGGCUAAUUCUGCUGACUGCCAGCAGUUUGAUUCUACUGGCUCAAUGUUGACUCAGCUUUCUAUUCUUCGAGGUUAAUUUCUUUGGUGCCAUUGGAAAGGAAAUACUUCAUGUCAUGUCAUUAUCAUCAUCAUCAUCAUUGACUCAAGAGAACCUUCAUCCACACAGUGAUGUUGACAGUCUCUCCUUAUCAAGAUGGUAUGGCACCACAGAGAGCUUUUCCUUCUUGUAUUAGCCAAGAAGAUUCUGCAUAGAGAAAAUGGCCUUGGAACACCUAAAUGAGAAACCUAGCUGCUGGUUGGAUAUGAAGACCAGGCUCAGGUCUCAGAGCAACACUUCAUGAACAAAGACAUUCAACUUUCUGUAGAUUAGACUCCACAUGGUGAAAUCAAAGGAGGUACCUGAAAUAUCAUGUUACAUCCUAGGAUGGUUUUUUUCCCCAGAAUGUUUAUGGAGUAAAGGCAGUUCUUUCCAAAGACUUUCAUUGUUUUAACUGAUGCCAGCACAUAGCUAUAAUUUGACUGGCCAUGCAUUUAUAUAUCAUUUUUUCACCUUAAGCACUCAUUUGGACAAACAAAUCAGUAAAAGAAAUAAAAUUACUAUGAGGAAA